AAUAAGUUCAUUUGUGGGACUCUGUGUCCAAUAUUUGACUGGCCAUCUUAUUUUUUUUAGAUUAGUAUUUUUGUUGUUAUUAGAUGAUAAAACAUGAAUAGUACUUUAUGCGUGACUUAUUUUUUUAAUUUUUUUCAUAAAUUUUGUAAAUAAGAUGAACGGUCAAACGUUGGACACAGAAAGCCACAACUAAACUUAUU
Non-coding RNA from Oryza glaberrima (African rice), 200 nucleotides. The record is from Rfam. NCBI's taxonomy places the organism in Eukaryota, Viridiplantae, Streptophyta, Magnoliopsida, Poales, Poaceae.